GAUGAACGCUGGCGGCGUGCCUAAUACAUGCAAGUCGAGCGAACAGACGAGGAGCUUGCUCCUCUGACGUUAGCGGCGGACGGGUGAGUAACACGUGGAUAACCUACCUAUAAGACUGGGAUAACUUCGGGAAACCGGAGCUAAUACCGGAUAAUAUAUUGAACCGCAUGGUUCAAUAGUGAAGGACGGUUUUGCUGUCACUUAUAGAUGGAUCCGCGCCGCAUUAGCUAGUUGGUAAGGUAACGGCUUACCAAGGCGACGAUGCGUAGCCGACCUGAGAGGGUGAUCGGCCACACUAGAACUGAGACACGGUCCAGACUCCUACGGGAGGCAGCAGUAGGGAAUCUUCCGCAAUGGGCGAAAGCCUGACGGAGCAACGCCGCGUGAGUGAUGAAGGUCUUCGGAUCGUAAAACUCUGUUAUUAGGGAAGAACAAAUGUGUAAGUAACUAUGCACGUCUUGACGGUACCUAAUCAGAAAGCCACGGCUAACUACGUG
Molecule: ribosomal RNA, 497 nt
Filed under: uncultured bacterium
Lineage: Bacteria
Description: partial 16S ribosomal RNA
Rfam family: Bacterial small subunit ribosomal RNA
Source: RNAcentral